CCUACGGGUGGCAGCAGUGAGGAAUAUUGGUCAAUGGGCGCUAGCCUGAACCAGCCAAGUAGCGUGAAGGAUGACUGCCCUAUGGGUUGUAAACUUCUUUUAUAUGGGAGUAAAGUGCAGUAUGUAUACUGCUUUGCAUGUACCUUAUGAAUAAGGAUCGGCUAACUCCGUGCCAGCAGCCGCGGUAAUACGGAGGAUCCGAGCGUUAUCCGGAUUUAUUGGGUUUAAAGGGAGCGUAGGCGGGUUGUUAAGUCAGUUGUGAAAUUUUGCGGCUCAACCGUAAAAUUGCAGUUGAUACUGGCAGCCUUGAGUACAGUAGAGGUAAGCGGAAUGUGUGGUGUAGCGGGGAAAUGCUUAGAUAUCACGAAGAACUCCGAUUGCGAAGGCAGCUUGCUGGACUGUAACUGACGCUGAUGCUCGAAAGUGUGGGUAUCAAACAGGAUUAGAUACCCUUGUAGUC
RNAcentral lists this ribosomal RNA (460 nucleotides) under uncultured bacterium. Its description in RNAcentral is "partial 16S ribosomal RNA". It matches the Rfam family "Bacterial small subunit ribosomal RNA", at positions 338 to 795 of the family's 1533-position model. The record is from RNAcentral.